Molecule: non-coding RNA, 128 nt
Filed under: Flavimaricola marinus
Lineage: Bacteria; Pseudomonadati; Pseudomonadota; Alphaproteobacteria; Rhodobacterales; Paracoccaceae
Description: Loktanella marina Ruegeria cis8 sRNA
Rfam family: Ruegeria cis8 sRNA
About the family: Cis-encoded. Targets hypothetical protein.
Source: Rfam by way of RNAcentral
AUCGUCAGGAUUUUGGCGAUGUAGGGGAUGAGUGGCAGGUUCAGUAUCAACAGGACCAGGUUCCCGAUAUACAUCGAGAUGAUAACAGCCCAGAACACUUGUGGCUCAUCGGUCAUGAGACGUGGACC